GCGCUGUGGUUCCGCCAUGGAAUCCAACAAGGAUGAAGCCGAGUGCUGUAUUAGCAUUGCUCUCAAGGCCAUCCAGAGCAACCAGCCCGACCGGGCGCCCUGCUUCCUGGAGAAGGCACAGCGACUGUACCCAACACCGCGAGUUCGCGCCCUGAUCGAGUCCCUCAACCAGAAACCACAGACUGCCAGUGACCAGCCCCAACCCACAGACACAACCCACACCACUCAUAGGAAGGCAGGUGGGACUGAUGCCCCCUCGGCCAACGGUGAAGCUGGAGGAGGAGAGAGCAGUAAAGGCUACACUGUGGAACAAGUGGCAGCUGUGAAAAGGGUCAAGCCAUGUAAAGAUUACUACGAGAUCCUGGGGGUGAGCAGAGGAGCCUCAGAUGAGGACCUGAAGAAGGCUUACCUCAAAUUGGCCCUCAAAUUCCACCCGGACAAGAACCGUGCUCCUGGUGCCACUGAAGCUUUCAAAGCCAUUGGCACAGCAUAUGCGGUACUUAGCUACCCAGAGAAAAGGAAGCAAUAUGACCAGUUGGUGAUGACAAGAGCCAGGGAGCCCGGCAUGGCCAUGGGCACGGGGACUUCCACCGUGGCUUUGAGGCUGACAUUUCUCCUGAAGACCUCUUCAACAUGUUCUUUGGAGGUGGCUUCCCUUCUAGUAACGUCCACAUCUACAGCAACGGUCGCAUGCGCUAUACCUACCAGCAAAGGCAGGACCGCAGGGACAACCAGGGUGACGGUGGGCUGGGGGUGUUUGUUCAGCUGAUGCCCAUCCUCAUCCCGAUCCUCGUGUCGGCUCUCAGCCAGCUCAUGGUCUCCAGUCCUCCCUACAGUCUGAGCCCAAGACCAUCAGUGGGCCAUGUCCACAGGCGAGUCACUGACCACCUGAGUGUCGUCUACUAUGUGGCAGACAGUUUCUCUGAGGAGUACACAGGCUCCAGCCUAAAAACAGUUGAACGGAACGUGGAAGAUGAUUACAUUGCCAACCUUCGAAACAACUGCUGGAAGGAGAAGCAGCAGAAGGAAGGCUUGUUGUACCGGGCCCGCUACUUUGGUGACACAGAUAUGUACCACAAAGCACAGAAGAUGGGCACUCCAAGCACAGAAGAUGGGACUGUCAGAGGUGCAGGCCUCCCUGCAUGGAUAGUCCUGGGCCAGCCAUGCCACCGAGACUAUGAAAUCCCUGGAGAAUUUUUGGUGACAAGCACUGAGCCAAGGUGAUGGACUGUGUAGUUAAGGAAAGACAUACAAAGAAAAAAAAUUAAAAUGGAAUUGGAGGCCAAACGCCCGCACAACUGCCCUCUCUCUCACCCAGUAAAUGCAGAAAGCUCUUAGGACAGUCAGAAAACCUGCCGCGGGGCUGCUUCCUCCCUCCCUGGGCUGGCAGAGGCUCCACAUCGGCUCUCUCCUAGGAUACAGAAACCAUGGCAACGAAAGUAGAAUGUAAAACUUGCAGCAAAUGUCUGUGGGAAGGGCUGGGGGAGGAGUUGCCCAAGCCUUUCCUCCCCCUCCCAGGAGCCACCACCAGUCACCUCUCAGGAGAAGCCAGAGGCGUUGGCCAAGGACAGAGCGGAGGAGGAAAGAAUUCUCCACGGAAUGUAAUUUAUAGAUGCGUGUAUAUGUAUAUAUAUAUAUUUAUAUGUAAAUAGACAUAUAUAAAGAUAUAUAUAGUUGACUUUUUAAACU
This is an RNA transcript of Nycticebus coucang (slow loris), 1689 nucleotides long. It is a transcript of the gene named dnaJ homolog subfamily B member 12-like, with no coding region annotated. NCBI's taxonomy places the organism in Eukaryota, Metazoa, Chordata, Mammalia, Primates, Lorisidae. The record is from RefSeq and is a predicted model, not a curated record. The transcript has a single exon.